AGGACGAACGCUGGCGGUGUGCUUCACACAUGCAAGUCGAACGGGGUAGCAAUACUCAGUGGCGGACGGGUGAGUAACGCGUAGGAAUCUGCCUUUAGGUGGGGGAUAGCAGACCGAAAGGUCUAUUAAUACCGCAUAUGUAUGCGCUUAGACAUUUGCGCAUAUGAAAGGAGUAAUUUGCCUGAAGAUGAGCCUGCGUCCGAUUAGCUAGUUGGUAGGGUAACGGCCUACCAAGGCGACGAUCGGUAGGUGGUCUGAGAGGAUGAUCACCCACAAUGGGACUGAGACACGGCCCAUACUCCUACGGGAGGCAGCAGUGGGGAAUUUUGUGCAAUGGGCGAAAGCCUGACACAGCGACACCGCGUGAACGAAGAAGGCCUUUGGGUCGUAAAGUUCUGUCGGCUGGAACGAAAAAAUGACGGUACCAGCAAAGGAAGCAUCGGCUAACUACGCGCUAGCAGCCGCGGUAA
Molecule: ribosomal RNA, 470 nt
Filed under: uncultured bacterium
Lineage: Bacteria
Description: SSU rRNA
Rfam family: Bacterial small subunit ribosomal RNA
Source: RNAcentral